This is a non-coding RNA of Thunnus maccoyii (southern bluefin tuna), 689 nucleotides long. Lineage: Eukaryota; Metazoa; Chordata; Actinopteri; Scombriformes; Scombridae. The record is from the annotation of a RefSeq genome assembly.
AACACUCCCAGUUACACUUGAUGAUACACUGAUUCAUCACAUGGAUUACACAACAGCUAACAGCAUCAGAGAACAUCAUCUAUGAAACACCCACCUGGAACCUUUUAGAUCUCUGUAACUACACUGACAGUUAGAUUAUACCUCUUUCAGUGUCUGACUUCUACAACAUGGACAUCAUCAAACAUGGUUUCCUAAGCUUGUUGACACUUCUGCUCUGGAUAAAAGGUCUAGUUGAUGGGAGUGUUGUCACUCAGACCUCACUAAUAUGGAAAUUCAAGGGUGAAAAUGCAACAAUAGACUGCAACCACAUCAAGGAUUUUAGCUACAACCAGAUGUACUGGUACAGACAGCUGCCAGGAGAAACAAUGAAACUAAUAGUUUUUACAACAACUACAAAAAAAGAUCAUGACUUUGAACCAGACUUCAAAAAUGGGAGAUUCUCAGCCACUAAGCCUGACUUUGCUAAUGGGACAUUCACAGUGAAGAAUCUGGAACCAAAAGAUAAAGGCUUGUAUUUCUGUGCUGUCAGUAAGCACAGUGAUACAGAUGCACUUGACAGCUGAACAAAAACCUCAGUGCACUGUUGGAACAACUGCUACCAACUCAAUUUAUCUCCUGUACUGUACAUCUCCCUUUCCUGUACUGUAGGGGGACCUCAAGCACCACAAACACUCCCAGUUACACUUUGA